Long non-coding RNA from Triticum aestivum (bread wheat), 852 nucleotides. RefSeq lists it as uncharacterized. NCBI's taxonomy places the organism in Eukaryota, Viridiplantae, Streptophyta, Magnoliopsida, Poales, Poaceae. The transcript has 4 exons. The record is from RefSeq and is a predicted model, not a curated record.
GCAACAAAGUAUCUAUGACAUUAGUAAUUCUCUGUAUAAGAUGGAAAUUCUUCAGAACUGUAAUUUUGAAUGAAGCUAUUUUCUGAUAUUUGAAUCUUGCCAAAAAUGAACAUGAGUGAUAUAACCCAUAUAACAAAACAGAUGAUAGUUGUCUUUGCAAGUUGCACUGCAAAGAUUGCUUUUUAGUGAAGUUAUCCUUGGCGGUGUUAGAUAAGUAUUAACGCGACUGUUUACUUGGUUAAGAUUACAUUCACGUUAUUUCUUCUAACCUUCUAAUCUCUAUACACAGCUAGCUACAGCUUGGGACAACUGCUAGAAGAAUGAACGGUUGAUUCCUCUACAGCAACGCCUGAGGUCAGGUUCUAUGCGAGUGCAACAGUGCUGGCGGUGUCGGCCGUGGUGGUAGCAUGUGCACUUGCCGAGGGUGGAUGAGGCUUUGAUGAUGGAGCUAGCAAAGAAGGCAUGGAGCAAAUGGAGACGGGGUUCCUUUGUGACAACGUAUGGGAGGCUGAUGGGUUCCCUUGGAAGUUGGAACAAUGCGAUGUUGCCGAGACAGCACACUGGGUUCCAAUUCCAGUUGGACGAAUAGUAUAUAAUUUUGUGGGAAGUCUUACCGUCCCUAUUUCAUAGAAAAAAAAUCCAGGUUGCUGAGUUUUGGCCUUAAGGUGCAGCAUUGAUAAGGAAAUUAUGCAUCUGUUGAGAUUAAUUAAUUCAACCUGAGGAUAGACAUCCUCACUUCAGUUCAAAAUUAUCCAGAAGAAGUGUGAUUUCUAUUCCAUAUUCAUUGACUUUUCUAAGACCUAUUAGUAAAUUCAUUAGCUUCUUUAAUCCAGUGAUUCUGGGUAAACCGAC